Molecule: non-coding RNA, 123 nt
Rfam family: Streptomyces sRNA scr5239
About the family: It inhibits agarase DagA expression by direct base pairing to the dagA coding region, and it represses translation of methionine synthase metE (SCO0985) at the 5' end of its open reading frame.
CUUCUGUCCUCCCCGCACAGGAGGGCAGAGCGAGGCCACGGACGCUAUCUGCCCUGACGGCGCCCGGGGCCCGCAUCGCUCCGGGCUGCGGUGCCGAGAGGGUUGAGGGUCCCUCCCCGGCGC